CAUCACAGCGGCCAGCGUGGGUGUGCUGACCUGUCAGGAGGGAUUCCAGUCGACCUGGGAACGUGGUUGUGUGCUUUUUCCAGGCAGCCUCAGCGGCAACGGGCUGAGCAAUGCUGUGAUAAACAUUCUUAUAAGAGGAGUGCUUCAGGAAAAUGUGUUCAAACUUCAAAGGAGAGUUUUAUGGAAAAGUAUUUUGGAUGACCUGGGAGAUACACAAGGUAAAGGAGGAGACCUUUGUAAGGUAAAGAAUUGAGAACUAAACAACUGACAUGAAGGAAAGUAACAGAGGCGGGACCAGAUGCAGCAUAAAUGUGCUGUUAACACCUCUUUAAAAUCUUUGAGCAUCUUGUAAGACUUGAUUGAAAUAUAAAAUUAAUGGUUUAUAAACCUAUUAUUGAGUUAAAUGAAACAUCUACUAGCACAUUUAAAGAAGUUAUUUCCUGAUCUCUUCUGAGCUUAUUCACCAAAGGAACAGUUGAAUGCAUUUCUAAUCAACUACAAAUUCAAAUGUGAAAUGAUCAUUUGGUUCAUUAAAAAAAAAAAAAAAAAAAAAAAGUAGUGGGCUUUCCAAUUGCAUCCUUACUGUUACACUUAGAUUCCAGGGAGGAAAAUACUAGUAACACUCGUUAUUCAGUUUCCUUUGCUUAUAUUUUUGAUGGUUGUAUUUAAAGGUAUAAAAUCAAAUAUGUUUGUAUGUUUCACAGAGCUCUGUCUUUGAAAAAGAAUAAUAGUUUCUCUAAAUCUUAG
This 747-nucleotide long non-coding RNA is filed under the name Felis catus (domestic cat). RNAcentral describes it as "lncRNA (ENSFCAG00000042537.2)". Lineage: Eukaryota; Metazoa; Chordata; Mammalia; Carnivora; Felidae. The record is from RNAcentral.